RNAcentral lists this ribosomal RNA (267 nucleotides) under Triticum aestivum (bread wheat). RNAcentral describes it as "partial small subunit ribosomal RNA". Lineage: Eukaryota; Viridiplantae; Streptophyta; Magnoliopsida; Poales; Poaceae. The record is from RNAcentral.
CAAACCCCUUUCGUUGUUACCGACAUGUAUGCGCCAACUGCUCGAUCCCUCAAAAGCGUUUUCUUGGACGAACUGAAAAGUAUUGCUCCACCGAACAACACUCCGUGGCUAGUCAUAGGUGACUUCAAUCUGAUUCGUUUCCCCCAUGAGAAAAAUAAUCCCAAUUUUCAUCAUCUAGAAGCAUCUCUUUUCAACGACGCCUUGGAUCACCUCGCGCUUAUGGAAUUACCUCUCCUAGACAGGAAGUUCACCUGGUCAAAUAACUAA